UUUGUUCCUUAAAUAGGGACUUGUAUGAACGGCCACACGAGGGCUUUACUGUCUCUUACUUCCAAUCCGUGAAAUUGACCUUCCCGUGAAGAGGCGGGAAUAUAACAAUAAGACGAGAAGACCCUAUGGAGCUUUAAUUAACCGACCCAAAGAGACCUCAUUUAUCCAACCGACAGGAACAACAAACCUCUAUAUGGGCCGACAAUUUAGGUUGGGGUGACCUCGGAGAACAAAACAACCUCCGAGUGAUUUAAAUCAAGACUAACCAGUCAAAAGUACUACAUCACUUAUUGAUCCAAAAACUUGAUCAACGGAACAAGUUACCCU
Molecule: ribosomal RNA, 327 nt
Filed under: Lynx rufus (bobcat)
Lineage: Eukaryota; Metazoa; Chordata; Mammalia; Carnivora; Felidae
Description: partial 16S ribosomal RNA
Rfam family: Bacterial large subunit ribosomal RNA
Source: RNAcentral